CCUACGGGGGGCAGCAGUGAGGAAUAUUGGUCAAUGGACGAGAGUCUGAACCAGCCAAGUAGCGUGAAGGAUGACUGCCCUAUGGGUUGUAAACUUCUUUUAUAUGGGAAUAAAAUGUUCCACGUGUGGGAUUUUGUAUGUACCAUAUGAAUAAGGAUCGGCUAACUCCGUGCCAGCAGCCGCGGUAAUACGGAGGAUUCGAGCGUUAUCCGGAUUUAUUGGGUUUAAAGGGAGCGUAGGUGGAUUGUUAAGUCAGUUGUGAAAGUUUGCGGCUCAACCGUAAAAUUGCAGUUGAAACUGGCAGUCUUGAGUACAGUAGAGGUGGGCGGAAUUCGUGGUGUAGCGGUGAAAUGCUUAGAUAUCACGAAGAACUCCGAUUGCGAAGGCAGUUCACUGGACUGCAACUGACACUGAGGCUCGAAAGUGUGGGUAUCAAACAGGAUUAGAUACCCGAGUAGUC
This 460-nucleotide ribosomal RNA is filed under the name uncultured bacterium. RNAcentral's name for it is "partial 16S ribosomal RNA". It matches the Rfam family "Bacterial small subunit ribosomal RNA", at positions 338 to 795 of the family's 1533-position model. The record is from RNAcentral.